Etheostoma spectabile (orangethroat darter) is the source of this 210-nucleotide long non-coding RNA. RefSeq lists it as uncharacterized. The transcript has 3 exons. NCBI's taxonomy places the organism in Eukaryota, Metazoa, Chordata, Actinopteri, Perciformes, Percidae. The record is from RefSeq and is a predicted model, not a curated record.
UUUAGCAAGGCACUGUAUGUGGCAAAUGGAGACCGACAGCAAGAAGACUUGCUGGCAAACGAGGACAAGUGGCCUCAGAGCCGGUUCUGACUGCCUUGAGCUGUCCUGUUGGAUCUCUGUGCUGUUUUGGACCAUGUGUUACAGAGGAGUACUUGGAGAAACCACGCCAUAUUGGUGUCAUGCAAACACAUGUCCCAUUUCAAGGGUGGU